GGGCUUUCUCUUAUCUCUUGUAUUCCAAGCGAGUUUUUUAGCUGGUCGACAAUAAUAUUAUGGAGUUGAUUGUCUGUGCAAUAUAACUAGAUAUUAUUGUUACCCACUUGUUGGAAACUCAAAACUAAAAGACAUUAUCACCCUGUUGUAUGCAAAAUUUCUGACCAUCUAAUAAAAAACUUGCCUACAACCGGUGAGGGGACUCUAGCACCAGAGAUUGGUAAAU
RNAcentral lists this unclassified non-coding RNA (226 nucleotides) under Nilaparvata lugens (brown planthopper). RNAcentral describes it as "uncharacterized LOC120353097, transcript variant X1". The record is from RNAcentral. Lineage: Eukaryota; Metazoa; Arthropoda; Insecta; Hemiptera; Delphacidae.